This 448-nucleotide ribosomal RNA is filed under the name uncultured bacterium. RNAcentral describes it as "bacterial SSU rRNA". It matches the Rfam family "Bacterial small subunit ribosomal RNA", at positions 331 to 795 of the family's 1533-position model. The record is from RNAcentral.
GCCAGCUCCUACGGGAGGCAGCAGUGGGGAAUAUUGCACAAUGGGGGAAACCCUGAUGCAGCGACGCCGCGUGAGUGAAGAAGUAUUUCGGUAUGUAAAGCUCUAUCAGCAGGGAAGAUAAUGACGGUACCUGACUAAGAAGCCCCGGCUAACUACGUGCCAGCAGCCGCGGUAAUACGUAGGGGGCAAGCGUUAUCCGGAUUUACUGGGUGUAAAGGGUGCGUAGGUGGCAUGGCAAGUCAGAAGUGAAAGCCCGGGGCUCAACCCCGCGGACUGCUUUGGAAACUGUGCAGCUAGAGUGCAGGAGAGGUAAGUGGAAUUCCUAGUGUAGCGGUGAAAUGCGUAGAUAUUAGGAGGAACACCAGUGGCGAAGGCGGCUUACUGGACUGUAACUGACGUUGAGGCUCGAAAGCGUGGGGAGCAAACAGGAUUAGAUACCCUCGUAAAC